UUAAGUUAUUAAGGGCGCACGGUGGAUGCCUUGGCACUAGAAGCCGAUGAAGGACGUUACUAACGACGAUAUGCUUUGGGGAGCUGUAAGUAAGCUUUGAUCCAGAGAUUUCCGAAUGGGGAAACCCAGCAUGAGUUAUGUCAUGUUAUCGAUAUGUGAAUACAUAGCAUAUCAGAAGGCACACCCGGAGAACUGAAACAUCUUAGUACCCGGAGGAAGAGAAAGAAAAUUCGAUUCCCUUAGUAGCGGCGAGCGAAACGGGAAGAGCCCAAACCAACAAGCUUGCUUGUUGGGGUUGUAGGACACUCUAUACGGAGUUACAAAGGACGACAUUAGACGAAUCAUCUGGAAAGAUGAAUCAAAGAAGGUAAUAAUCCUGUAGUCGAAAAUGUUGUCUCUCUUGAGUGGAUCCUGAGUACGACGGAGCACGUGAAAUUCCGUCGGAAUCUGGGAGGACCAUCUCCUAAGGCUAAAUACUCUCUAGUGACCGAUAGUGAACCAGUACCGUGAGGGAAAGGUGAAAAGCACCCCGGAAGGGGAGUGAAAUAGAACCUGAAACCGUGUGCUUACAAGUAGUCAGAGCCCGUUAAUGGGUGAUGGCGUGCCUUUUGUAGAAUGAACCGGCGAGUUACGAUUUGAUGCAAGGUUAAGCAGUAAAUGUGGAGCCGUAGCGAAAGCGAGUCUGAAUAGGGCGUUUAGUAUUUGGUCGUAGACCCGAAACCAGGUGAUCUACCCUUGGUCAGGUUGAAGUUCAGGUAACACUGAAUGGAGGACCGAACCGACUUACGUUGAAAAGUGAGCGGAUGAACUGAGGGUAGCGGAGAAAUUCCAAUCGAACCUGGAGAUAGCUGGUUCUCUCCGAAAUAGCUUUAGGGCUAGCCUCAAGUGAUGAUUAUUGGAGGUAGAGCACUUUUUGGACGAGGGGCCCCUCUCGGGUUACCGAAUUCAGACAAACUCCGAAUGCCAAUUAAUUUAACUUGGGAGUCAGAACAUGGGUGAUAAGGUCCGUGUUCGAAAGGGAAACAGCCCAGACCACCAGCUAAGGUCCCAAAAUAUAUGUUAAGUGGAAAAGGAUGUGGCGUUGCCCAGACAACUAGGAUGUUGGCUUAGAAGCAGCCAUCAUUUAAAGAGUGCGUAAUAGCUCACUAGUCGAGUGACACUGCGCCGAAAAUGUACCGGGGCUAAACAUAUUACCGAAGCUGUGGAUUGUCCUUUGGACAAUGGUAGGAGAGCGUUCUAAGGGCGUUGAAGCAUGAUCGUAAGGACAUGUGGAGCGCUUAGAAGUGAGAAUGCCGGUGUGAGUAGCGAAAGACGGGUGAGAAUUCCGUCCACCGAUUGACUAAGGUUUCCAGAGGAAGGCUCGUCCGCUCUGGGUUAGUCGGGUCCUAAGCUGAGGCCGACAGGCGUAGGCGAUGGAUAACAGGUUGAUAUUCCUGUACCACCUAUAAUCGUUUUAAUCGAUGGGGGGACGCAGUAGGAUAGGCGAAGCGUGCGAUUGGAUUGCACGUCUAAGCAGUAAGGCUGAGUAUUAGGCAAAUCCGGUACUCGUUAAGGCUGAGCUGUGAUGGGGAGAAGACAUUGUGGCUUCGAGUCGUUGAUUUCACACUGCCGAGAAAAGCCUCUAGAUAGAAAAUAGGUGCCCGUACCGCAAACCGACACAGGUAGUCAAGAUGAGAAUUCUAAGGUGAGCGAGCGAACUCUCGUUAAGGAACUCGGCAAAAUGACCCCGUAACUUCGGGAGAAGGGGUGCUCUUUAGGGUUAACGCCCAGAAGAGCCGCAGUGAAUAGGCCCAAGCGACUGUUUAUCAAAAACACAGGUCUCUGCUAAACCGUAAGGUGAUGUAUAGGGGCUGACGCCUGCCCGGUGCUGGAAGGUUAAGAGGAGUGGUUAGCUUCUGCGAAGCUACGAAUCGAAGCCCCAGUAAACGGCGGCCGUAACUAUAACGGUCCUAAGGUAGCGAAAUUCCUUGUCGGGUAAGUUCCGACCCGCACGAAAGGCGUAACGAUUUGGGCACUGUCUCAACGAGAGACUCGGUGAAAUCAUAGUACCUGUGAAGAUGCAGGUUACCCGCGACAGGACGGAAAGACCCCGUGGAGCUUUACUGUAGCCUGAUAUUGAAAUUCGGCACAGCUUGUACAGGAUAGGUAGGAGCCUUUGAAACGUGAGCGCUAGCUUACGUGGAGGCGCUGGUGGGAUACUACCCUAGCUGUGUUGGCUUUCUAACCCGCACCACUUAUCGUGGUGGGAGACAGUGUCAGGCGGGCAGUUUGACUGGGGCGGUCGCCUCCUAAAAAGGAAAGGAGGCGCUCAAAGGUUCCCUCAGAAUGGUUGGAAAUCAUUCAUAGAGUGUAAAGGCAUAAGGGAGCUUGACUGCGAGACCUACAAGUCGAGCAGGGUCGAAAGACGGACUUAGUGAUCCGGUGGUUCCGCAUGGAAGGGCCAUCGCUCAACGGAUAAAAGCUACCCCGGGGAUAACAGGCUUAUCUCCCCCAAGAGUUCACAUCGACGGGGAGGUUUGGCACCUCGAUGUCGGCUCAUCGCAUCCUGGGGCUGUAGUCGGUCCCAAGGGUUGGGCUGUUCGCCCAUUAAAGCGGUACGCGAGCUGGGUUCAGAACGUCGUGAGACAGUUCGGUCCCUAUCCGUCGUGGGCGUAGGAAAUUUGAGAGGAGCUGUCCUUAGUACGAGAGGACCGGGAUGGACAUACCUCUGGUGUACCAGUUGUCGUGCCAACGGCAUAGCUGGGUAGCUAUGUGUGGACGGGAUAAGUGCUGAAAGCAUCUAAGCAUGAAGCCCCCCUCAAGAUGAGAUUUCCCAACUUCGGUUAUAAGAUCCCUCAAAGAUGAUGAGGUUAAUAGGUUCGAGGUGGAAGCAUGGUGACAUGUGGAGCUGACGAAUACUAAUCGAUCGAAGACUUAAUCAA
RNAcentral lists this ribosomal RNA (2921 nucleotides) under Staphylococcus aureus. RNAcentral describes it as "bacterial LSU rRNA". It matches the Rfam family "Bacterial large subunit ribosomal RNA". Lineage: Bacteria; Bacillati; Bacillota; Bacilli; Caryophanales; Staphylococcaceae. The record is from RNAcentral.